This 48-nucleotide non-coding RNA is filed under the name Schistosoma curassoni. Lineage: Eukaryota; Metazoa; Platyhelminthes; Trematoda; Strigeidida; Schistosomatidae. The record is from RNAcentral.
AUCCAGCUGACAAGUCCCAAAUAGGACGAAACAUGCGUCAAACUGGAU